GACGAACGCUGGCGGCGUGCUUAACACAUGCAAGUCGAACGGAAAGGCCCCUUUGGGGGUACUCGAGUGGCGAACGGGUGAGUAACACGUGAGUAACCUGCCCUUGACUUCGGGAUAACUUCAGGAAACUGGGGCUAAUACCGGAUAGGAAUCCUUGCUGCAUGGUGGGGGUUGGAAAGCUUCGGCGGUUUUGGAUGGACUCGCGGCUUAUCAGCUUGUUGGUGGGGUAGUGGCUUUCCAAGGCUUUGACGGGUAGCCGGCCUGAGAGGGCGACCGGCCACAUUGGGACUGAGAUACGGCCCAGACUCCUACGGGAGGCAGCAGUGGGGAAUAUUGCACAAUGGGCGGAAGCCUGAUGCAGCAACGCCGCGUGCGGGAUGACGGCCUUCGGGUUGUAAACCGCUUUCAGCAGGGGCGAAGCUUGUGGUGACGGCACCUGCAGAAGAAGCACCGGCUAACUACGUG
This 465-nucleotide ribosomal RNA is filed under the name uncultured bacterium. RNAcentral's name for it is "partial 16S ribosomal RNA". It matches the Rfam family "Bacterial small subunit ribosomal RNA", at positions 28 to 507 of the family's 1533-position model. The record is from RNAcentral.